RNAcentral lists this transfer RNA (62 nucleotides) under Perkinsiella saccharicida. Its description in RNAcentral is "tRNA-Tyr". Lineage: Eukaryota; Metazoa; Arthropoda; Insecta; Hemiptera; Delphacidae. The record is from RNAcentral.
AAUAGGGUGUCUGAUUAAGGUAAUAAAUUGUAAAUUUAUUUAAGGAAAUUUUCCUCCUAUUA